Suricata suricatta (meerkat) is the source of this 381-nucleotide long non-coding RNA. RefSeq lists it as uncharacterized. Lineage: Eukaryota; Metazoa; Chordata; Mammalia; Carnivora; Herpestidae. The record is from RefSeq and is a predicted model, not a curated record. The transcript has 3 exons.
AAUCUUAUAUGGACAUAUGAGGGGGAAACGAGUAAGAAUCUAGUGAAUGAUGAAAACAGAACAGGGACUACAAAAGAAAUCGGUGGAACGGCCACAAUUUUCUGAACAUUCAAGAGGAAAAAGGCCACAUUCAUCAGGAUGACUUGUGCCUGAAAGGAACAUGUCAGACCCCGAGCUCCCCGCAGGCUGCGCUGCCUGAAGAGGACUUUAUUGCUGUGUUACGAGAGAUUUGUGGACUCUGUGAUGGAAAACGAAGGACUUUCUUUUCUUUUGGUUGUGGUGGUGGUGGUGAUGGAGUCUAGUAUAAAGUUUUGGUUUGUACAUCUUGGCAUUUUAUAUUUUGAUUAGAAAUUUACCAUAUCAAAAGUAAAAAUAUUAUGU